Molecule: ribosomal RNA, 646 nt
Filed under: Mrakia aquatica
Lineage: Eukaryota; Fungi; Basidiomycota; Tremellomycetes; Cystofilobasidiales; Mrakiaceae
Description: eukaryotic LSU rRNA
Rfam family: Eukaryotic large subunit ribosomal RNA
Source: RNAcentral
GCAUAUCAAUAAGCGGAGGAAAAGAAACUAACAAGGAUUCCCCUAGUAACGGCGAGUGAAGCGGGAUGAGCUCAAAUUUAAAAUCUUGCAGCCUCAGGUUGUACGAGUUGUAGUCUAGAGAAUCGUUUUCCGCGUUGGCCUGUGUACAAGUCCCUUGGAACAGGGCGUCAUAGAGGGUGAGAAUCCCGUCCUUGACACAGACUACCAAUGCUUUGUGAUGCGAUCUCGAAGAGUCGAGUUGUUUGGGAAUGCAGCUCAAAAUGGGUGGUAAAUUCCAUCUAAAGCUAAAUAUUGGCGAGAGACCGAUAGCGAACAAGUACCGUGAGGGAAAGAUGAAAAGCACUUUGGAAAGAGAGUUAAACAGUACGUGAAAUUGUUAAAAGGGAAACGAUUGAAGUCAGUCAUGCUCUCCGAGACUCAGCCGAUUCUGUCGGUGUACUUCUCGGUUGGCAGGCCAGCAUCAGUUUUGAUCUGUGGAAAAGGUUGGAGAGAAUGUGGCAUCUUCGGAUGUGUUAUAGCUCUUCUUCGAAUACAUAGAGCGGGACUGAGGAACGCAGCGUGCCUUUUAUUAGGUUGGCCUUCGGGUACAUACACGCUUAGGAUGCUGGCAUAAUGGCUUUAAACGACCCGUCUUGAAACACGGACC